Molecule: long non-coding RNA, 365 nt
Filed under: Androctonus crassicauda
Lineage: Eukaryota; Metazoa; Arthropoda; Arachnida; Scorpiones; Buthidae
Source: RNAcentral
UUUUUUCUUCCUUGGUUUGGGGGGGGUGGGGGGCCGGGCCCCCUUUCCUAUUUAUGAUCAUUUUUUUUUUUUUUUUUUUUUGUGGGGGAGACCUGACGUUUCUGCUUUCUGCUGAGACCACCCCCACCCCUGACACCAGCAGUCCCCCUCCAUCCUGGGGCCUGGCUCAGACACAAGCCAGGAGUUGGGGUUGAGCUGGUUUCCCUCCUUUUGCCCUGAGGGCUCACCCUCUCCCUUGCCAGAGGAGGAGGAUGGAUGUCCAAGCUGAGGCCCCGUGCACAGGCCAGGCAGUGCAGCCUUGCUUCCCUCCUUCAGUGGGCCCUGCCCUUUGUGUCACCUCCACCUCCAUUAAAACUGCUCUCGAC